Molecule: ribosomal RNA, 497 nt
Filed under: uncultured bacterium
Lineage: Bacteria
Description: partial 16S ribosomal RNA
Rfam family: Bacterial small subunit ribosomal RNA
Source: RNAcentral
GAUGAACGCUGGCGGCGUGCCUAACACAUGCAAGUCGAACGAAAGGACGAUAAGCUUGCGGGGUUGAUGUUAGCGGCGGGCGGGUGAGUAACGCGUGGAUCACCUACUUAUAUGUCGGGGAUAAUUACGGAAAACGGGAGAUAAUACGGGAGAAUAUUUUGAACCGCAGGGUGCAAAAGAGAGUGACGGCGUUGGUGGAUGUAAUAGAUGGUUCCGAGCUGCAUUAGCUGGUUGGUAAGGUAACGGCUUACCAAGGCAACGAUGCAUAGCCGAACUGAGAGAGUGAUCGGCCACACUGGAACUGAGACACGGUCAAGACUCCUACGGGAGGCAGCAGUAGGGAAUCUUCGGCAAUGGGCGGAAGCCUGACGCAGCAACGCCGCGUGAGUGAUGAAGGCCUUCGGAUCGUAAAGCUCUGUUAUUGGGGAAGAACAUCUGUGUAAUUAACCGUGGCCAUCUUGACGGUACCGAAUCAAAAAGCACCGGCUAACUACGUG